Molecule: transfer RNA, 94 nt
Filed under: Brucella anthropi
Lineage: Bacteria; Pseudomonadati; Pseudomonadota; Alphaproteobacteria; Hyphomicrobiales; Brucellaceae
Description: Ochrobactrum anthropi tRNA-Arg(ccg)
Source: RNAcentral
GAAACUGCUCGCACAGGCUGAUGAGCUCGAUAUUCCGGUUAUCGAAGAUGCGGCUUAUCAGUAUCUUCGCUACAAUGGCGAUGCGAUUUCGCCA